UUAAAUUGAAGAGUUUGAUCAUGGCUCAGAUUGAACGCUGGCGGCAGGCCUAACACAUGCAAGUCGAACGGUAACAGGAAGCAGCUUGCUGCUUUGCUGACGAGUGGCGGACGGGUGAGUAAUGUCUGGGAAACUGCCUGAUGGAGGGGGAUAACUACUGGAAACGGUAGCUAAUACCGCAUAACGUCGCAAGACCAAAGAGGGGGACCUUCGGGCCUCUUGCCAUCGGAUGUGCCCAGAUGGGAUUAGCUAGUAGGUGGGGUAACGGCUCACCUAGGCGACGAUCCCUAGCUGGUCUGAGAGGAUGACCAGCCACACUGGAACUGAGACACGGUCCAGACUCCUACGGGAGGCAGCAGUGGGGAAUAUUGCACAAUGGGCGCAAGCCUGAUGCAGCCAUGCCGCGUGUAUGAAGAAGGCCUUCGGGUUGUAAAGUACUUUCAGCGGGGAGGAAGGCGAUAAGGUUAAUAACCUUGUCGAUUGACGUUACCCGCAGAAGAAGCACCGGCUAACUCCGUGCCAGCAGCCGCGGUAAUACGGAGGGUGCAAGCGUUAAUCGGAAUUACUGGGCGUAAAGCGCACGCAGGCGGUCUGUCAAGUCGGAUGUGAAAUCCCCGGGCUCAACCUGGGAACUGCAUUCGAAACUGGCAGGCUAGAGUCUUGUAGAGGGGGGUAGAAUUCCAGGUGUAGCGGUGAAAUGCGUAGAGAUCUGGAGGAAUACCGGUGGCGAAGGCGGCCCCCUGGACAAAGACUGACGCUCAGGUGCGAAAGCGUGGGGAGCAAACAGGAUUAGAUACCCUGGUAGUCCACGCCGUAAACGAUGUCGACUUGGAGGUUGUGCCCUUGAGGUGUGGCUUCCGGAGCUAACGCGUUAAGUCGACCGCCUGGGGAGUACGGCCGCAAGGUUAAAACUCAAAUGAAUUGACGGGGGCCCGCACAAGCGGUGGAGCAUGUGGUUUAAUUCGAUGCAACGCGAAGAACCUUACCUACUCUUGACAUCCAGAGAACUUUCCAGAGAUGGAUUGGUGCCUUCGGGAACUCUGAGACAGGUGCUGCAUGGCUGUCGUCAGCUCGUGUUGUGAAAUGUUGGGUUAAGUCCCGCAACGAGCGCAACCCUUAUCCUUUGUUGCCAGCGGUUAGGCCGGGAACUCAAAGGAGACUGCCAGUGAUAAACUGGAGGAAGGUGGGGAUGACGUCAAGUCAUCAUGGCCCUUACGAGUAGGGCUACACACGUGCUACAAUGGCGCAUACAAAGAGAAGCGACCUCGCGAGAGCAAGCGGACCUCAUAAAGUGCGUCGUAGUCCGGAUUGGAGUCUGCAACUCGACUCCAUGAAGUCGGAAUCGCUAGUAAUCGUGGAUCAGAAUGCCACGGUGAAUACGUUCCCGGGCCUUGUACACACCGCCCGUCACACCAUGGGAGUGGGUUGCAAAAGAAGUAGGUAGCUUAACCUUCGGGAGGGCGCUUACCACUUUGUGAUUCAUGACUGGGGUGAAGUCGUAACAAGGUAACCGUAGGGGAACCUGCGGUUGGAUCACCUCCUUACCUUAAAGAA
This 1554-nucleotide ribosomal RNA is filed under the name Enterobacter cloacae complex sp. Its description in RNAcentral is "bacterial SSU rRNA". It matches the Rfam family "Bacterial small subunit ribosomal RNA". The record is from RNAcentral. Lineage: Bacteria; Pseudomonadati; Pseudomonadota; Gammaproteobacteria; Enterobacterales; Enterobacteriaceae.